Long non-coding RNA from Ictalurus punctatus (channel catfish), 1073 nucleotides. The record is from Ensembl. Lineage: Eukaryota; Metazoa; Chordata; Actinopteri; Siluriformes; Ictaluridae.
CAAAUUUAAAGUUUAAUCAAUAUAAAAACAAAACACCAGAAGAGACAAUGAACACAUGAAAAUGAAAACAAACAAUACAUAUGAGACGAGAGAGCAUAACGUUUCAACAGAAGACAAUCAAAGCAAGACAAUGAGUGCAGUUCAAACUGUGACUAUAUACGCACAAGUGGUUAACAUGAAUGAGAACCAGGUGCAGGUGGUCAUGUGACACUCAGAAUGUUUACAUAGACAACAAUACUCCGAUAUUAACCUGAUUAAGACAAUACUCUGAUUAAGAAACUAUCGUGUAAACAGUGAUUAUUGGUGACCUUAAUCCGAUUAAAGUCAUACUCGAAGUAAACACUAAUCGGAUUAAGACAUAAGGAGUAUUCCUGUUUUAGUCGCAUUAUCGAAGUGCAUUACAGACAUGUACACAGCUUAAUCACACUAUUAACGUCGUGUGGGAGUUUUCACUGCAUUUUGCGACAGGACACGUACACACACGGCACUGAUCAACCGUUUUACGGCAAACAAGAGAGCAUGACUGCAUCCGAAACCGCAUACUUAACUUAUAUAUAGUGAAAUACAUGUACAUAGUAGGCGAAAUACAUAUAUCUCGGCUACUAUAUAGUAGGUAAGUACACGGUUUGGGACUCAGCCCAUGGCUUCAAGCAGUCGUCUAUUUGCACGUAUAGCAUGACUUAUAAUUGACUGCACUUGAGGCUUUUGUAAAAUUAAAAAUAAAAACACCUAAAACUGUAUACGGCAUCAAAACAAAGACGAACUGUAUGUCAGUACGUGAAAUUCUGGAGGUAACAUUGGACGGUGUGGCGCUGUGAUGUAAUGACGUGUGCCGUUAAUCGAUCUAUGUUCUAUAACUUUUAAAACAGGAACACGAAAGGAGUAUUCUAAAAGCGACUCAUGUAAACAGCUUAAUCACAAUACUGUCUUACUCAGAAUAAGGUCAAUAAUUAGAUUACUGCUGUCCAUGUAAACUGGUGGCUCAGUGGUUAAAGACUCUGGGUUACUGAUCAGAAGGUCAGGAGUUCAAGCCCCAGCCAAGCUACUAUUGUUGGGCCCUUGGGCAAGGCCCU